Molecule: long non-coding RNA, 996 nt
Organism: Phasianus colchicus (ring-necked pheasant)
Lineage: Eukaryota; Metazoa; Chordata; Aves; Galliformes; Phasianidae
Source: RefSeq, a predicted model, not a curated record
CAAUUGUUAAAAAAAAAAAAAAAAAACUGCUUACCAUUUAUAUCAAAACAUCACACUUCCAAAUGCUCCCCAAAAAAACAUCAGCUUGACAGCAGCUACUCUCCAAACAGCAAAUACAGAGAUGAGAGAUUAAACAAAUUAUAAUAAUUUGUUCCCCCAAAUGGGUCCCAACCUUUGGUUUAUGGGAGAUUUUGUGCUUUCCCCAUGCUGCUUCCCCUAUUCACAGUGCCAGCAGCCUGCAUCGCCCAGAGCAGCAGCACCACUGCACAGCAGCAGGGAGUUUCCACCACUUCCAAAACAGAAAGUUUGCCUAAAAUCCACAGGCCACCAUCUGUCUCUUCCCUUACAUCCAGUCUCAGCCUCCUCUCUGUUAAAUGGAAGCCAUUUCCCCUUGUCCUGUCUCCUUUCUCACAGCCCCUUGAGAUACAGGAAGAAAUCACAAGCGAGCAACUGUAACUAUUGUACCAAGUCACGGGCAUGCUUUUCCUUUCAAAGCACUUUCUAUUGGGCUGAUGGGAUAAUUUUUUUUAAUUAUUAUUUUUUGCAGUUGUUAUUUUCCUGUUUUUAUUCAAAGGAAUACAAAAUCUCACUGUUCCCAUUUCCAAAGAAAAACUCGCUACGCAAUGGCCUCACAGCACGGCCCCGCACCUCAACCGCGCAAGGCAGGAAACGCUCGCGUCGGCGCCUCGCCUUCCUAUUGGCGAGCGGCCGAGUCAGUGAGUAGAACCGCGUGUUGCCAUUGGAUGUGAGCCGGCGGGGGGGCGGGACAAGGCGGUGAGUUCCUGCUGGGCGCGUGGGGUCCGGAAGCAAACAAGCACCUGGAACUAGAACUUUUCUGUCCUAAUUUCUGUCCUAGGAGCAAAUUUCUUGUUGAAUGGAAACAGAUUUGACCAAAGCAAUGAUGAGUGAAGUAUUCUCUGAACUGGUAUUGCUGAGACUUUUUGUCUUUGCUCUGACCAGGGCGUGAUCACGUAAUCUUCUCUCUGAGCUUAUUUA